Molecule: transfer RNA, 70 nt
Filed under: Oplophorus typus
Lineage: Eukaryota; Metazoa; Arthropoda; Malacostraca; Decapoda; Oplophoridae
Description: tRNA-Glu
Rfam family: tRNA
About the family: Transfer RNA (tRNA) molecules are approximately 80 nucleotides in length.
Source: RNAcentral
GUUAUUAUAGUGUAAUUAACACUUUACAUUUUCAUUGUAAGACUAAAGGUUUAAAUCCUUUUAAAAAUAC